RNAcentral lists this ribosomal RNA (207 nucleotides) under Triticum aestivum (bread wheat). RNAcentral's name for it is "partial small subunit ribosomal RNA". The record is from RNAcentral. Lineage: Eukaryota; Viridiplantae; Streptophyta; Magnoliopsida; Poales; Poaceae.
AUGGGUUUUGUGCAACAUCGAAAGGGUCCUGGUGUAGUUGGAUUGUUCGGAUUGUUACAACCUCUAGCAGAUGGUUUGAAAUUGAUUCUAAAAGAACCUAUUUCACCAAGUAAUGCUAGUUUCUCCAUUUUUCGAAUGGCUCUAGUGGCUACAUUUAUGUUAACGCUGGUCGCUCAGGCCGUUGUACCUUUUGACCAUUUUUAUUGA